GAACGCUGGCGGCAGGCCUCAUACAUGCAAGUCGAGCGGUCCUUCGGGACAGCGGCGAACGGGUUAGUAACGCGUGGGAACGUGCCCUUUAGUAUGGAAUAGCCAUUGGAAACGAUGAUUAAUACCAUAUACGCCCCAAGGGGGAAAGAUUUAUCGCUAAAGGAUCGGCCCGCGUUAGAUUAGGUAGUUGGUAGGGUAACGGCCUACCAAGCCGACGAUCUAUAGCUGGUUUGAGAGGAUGAUCAGCAACACUGGGACUGAGACACGGCCCAGACUUCUACGGAAGGCAGCAGUAGGGAAUCUUGGACAAUGGGCGAAAGCCUGAUCCAGCCAUGCCGCGUGAGUGAUGAAGGCCCUAGGGUUGUAAAGCUCUUUCGCCAGGGAAGAUAAUGACGGUACCGGUAAAGAAACCCCGGCUAAC
This 421-nucleotide ribosomal RNA is filed under the name uncultured Alphaproteobacteria bacterium. RNAcentral describes it as "bacterial SSU rRNA". It matches the Rfam family "Bacterial small subunit ribosomal RNA", at positions 31 to 501 of the family's 1533-position model. The record is from RNAcentral. Lineage: Bacteria; Pseudomonadati; Pseudomonadota; Alphaproteobacteria.